GAUCCUGGCUCAGAAUCAACGCUGGCGGCGCGCCUAACACAUGCAAGUCGAACGAGAAAGUGGAGCAAUCCAUGAGUACAGUGGCGUACGGGUGAGUAACACGUGGAUCAUCUGCCCUGGAGUGGGGAAUAACGCUGGGAAACCGGCGCUAAUACCGCAUAUUCCCGAGAGGGGAAAGCAGCAAUGCGCUCGAGGAGGAGUCCGCGGCCGAUUAGCUAGUUGGCAGGGUAAAAGCCUACCAAGGCUGUGAUCGGUAGCCGGCCUGAGAGGGCACACGGCCACACUGGCACUGAAACACGGGCCAGACUCCUACGGGAGGCA
Molecule: ribosomal RNA, 321 nt
Filed under: uncultured Acidobacteriota bacterium
Lineage: Bacteria; Pseudomonadati; Acidobacteriota
Description: bacterial SSU rRNA
Rfam family: Bacterial small subunit ribosomal RNA
Source: RNAcentral